This 199-nucleotide ribosomal RNA is filed under the name uncultured bacterium. RNAcentral's name for it is "partial 16S ribosomal RNA". It matches the Rfam family "Bacterial small subunit ribosomal RNA", at positions 1301 to 1500 of the family's 1533-position model. The record is from RNAcentral.
AAGGCUGAAAUUCGCCUUCAUGAAGCCGGAAUUGCUAGUAAUGGCAGGUCAGCAUACUGCCGUGAAUACGUUCCCGGGCCCUUGUACACACCGCCCGUCACACCAUGAGAGUUGGGAAUACCCGAAGCCUGUGAGCUAACGAAAGAGGCAGCAGUCGAAGGUAGAAUCAAUGAUUGGGGUGAAGUCGUAACAAGGUACC